This 73-nucleotide transfer RNA is filed under the name Microbacterium album. Its description in RNAcentral is "tRNA-Arg". It matches the Rfam family "tRNA". From Rfam's summary of the family: Transfer RNA (tRNA) molecules are approximately 80 nucleotides in length. Their secondary structure includes four short double-helical elements and three loops (D, anti-codon, and T loops). Lineage: Bacteria; Bacillati; Actinomycetota; Actinomycetes; Micrococcales; Microbacteriaceae. The record is from RNAcentral.
GCCUCCUUAGCUCAGCGGAAGAGCAACGAACUUCUAAUUCGUCGGUCGAAGGUUCGAAUCCUUCAGGGGGCAC